Non-coding RNA from Drosophila bipectinata, 855 nucleotides. The record is from RefSeq and is a predicted model, not a curated record. NCBI's taxonomy places the organism in Eukaryota, Metazoa, Arthropoda, Insecta, Diptera, Drosophilidae.
CUAAGAUGUUGACAUUACAAGUUUAUUAAAAAGUUUAUUUAAAAAGUGCUAAUUGAUUCCUUGCUGAAAAAGAUAAACUGAGAAGCCUUUUCUUUUUUUUCGCUGAGCUAAUUGUGGAAAGACAUGAUAGAUCUUAACAUCGGAAAAAAGCCAGAAGGUCUGCUGCAUAUGGCAAAAUUUAUCAUUUGAAGGCUAAGGAGAAAAAGUUAUCAACUGGUAAUAUGGCUGAUGUUCAAUAGUGAAGAGGUGAAGCUUAGCCUUGCAAACGCAAAAUUUGAUCUUACUUUUGAGUGGCGCAAAAGUUUCUUUUUCUAGGACGAUACAAGUGUAGCUACACUUAGCUUAGGAGGAAUUGCCCAUUCUUAAGCAGAAUUGUGAAGACAAAUUGGUAAUAUUUUUUAUACAUUAAUUUUGUUUUAUUUAAUGCAUUUAUUGAAUUAAUUCUUAGAUUGUGGCAAUUUUUUCUCUCAUUUCGUUAAAAGGAAGUCCAGAGUUUUAUCUUACUAAAACAUUCCCUCAACAAAGCGAAGGUAAUAAUUACACUACCUUAAAAGAUGUUUUAAAACAUUCACGAUUAAAUAGUAUAUUAAUAUAUUUAUAUCGCAAUAUUAAUUGACGUUAUUUUCCACAGAUAAAAAGGACGCAAAUGAUUCACGCUAUUCUAGUCCCCACCAAAAGGGGAAAACAUGGUGCUACUGGAAAUUUAUAAGUCAAGUAUACAAUUCAAGAUUCGAGGGUCAAAUUUAUUAUAUACCAUAAAUAAAGUGUUAUGUGAAAGUAAGAACUGAAGAGAGCUAUCAAAGAAAACAAAUGUAAAUGUAAAAAUAAUGUAAAAAUAUGUAAAUGUAUGAUGUA